This is a non-coding RNA of Equus caballus (horse), 2213 nucleotides long. NCBI's taxonomy places the organism in Eukaryota, Metazoa, Chordata, Mammalia, Perissodactyla, Equidae. The record is from RefSeq and is a predicted model, not a curated record.
CUCCCAGCACUAACUCGGAGGCCUGAGGAUUUGUGAAUCGCUGCCCCUCCCCCCACGCAGGGGAGCCCCUAAACGCUGCUGGCCGUUUGCAAAGGGCUGUGCAUAUGUGUGUCUGUUUAAUUGCAGGUUUAUUUCUUCUCACCCUGUGAGUCUGUCUGUCUGCAACUCGGAUUAUUGCUCUCUGGGAAGCUGUAGCUGCCUGAUUCCGUGGGAGACCAAGCAGGAUGCGUGGGCUCAGGAAACAGAAAAGGGAAAAGAAGCGGGGGGGAGGGAGAAGAAAGGGAGCAGAGGAGAGAGCGGGAGCCGUAGAAUCUGUUAUUUGCGUCACUCGAGGAGCCGGGGCUAUCUGCCCGACAAACACACAGAAUUAAUCCGAGUUAUAGCCAUAGCUGUCUCUGCUACAGUGGCCAGUCGCGAAAGGGCGGGGAAAGGACGUUCGCCCCAGUCUGUGCGGAGCCGAGUUGGCACUGGGCGGCAGAAGGCGUCUGGGGAGGGGGCUGCCCUGCUGGACACGCCCUCGGGGCCCCGCACGCCCGGUGCAGACGAGGCUGCAGCCUCCUCUGCAGCUGCCCAGCCCAAGCCUGGGGUGGCGCCCGCCUUGGUCGCCUCGCCUGCUCAGUGGCUGCGCCGAACACAAAGCGCUGUCUCUGAGCAGAAGCCUCUUCUCGGCUGAACCAGACCCACCAAAGAGGAGAAUCUGCACGUGACGUCAGUAGCUGAUGACUGACGCAGGCUGGCAAAGGAGACUCAAGGCGGCUGCUCCGCGCUGCCUUCAUGAGUCUAUUUUCUCCAACCCCGUCGUAGUGAAUUACUAGAACGAAAAAUACACACAUAUGCAGCUUUCAAAAUAUACAUUUCCAAAGGCGAUGUGUUGCAAACACAGCGCGAUUUUGCAAAGCAUGGGUGGGAAACGUGGGAAGGGUACAGAAGACUUUUUUUUUCCCCUCAUUUGAGAAUCUCCACCGUGGAUGGCAUUAGACUCUAGAGCUUUCCUGAGAAGCUCCUCUGGGGAAGGGGCCUAAGCACUCUGCUUUUCCCCAGCAUGUAAGGAAUCUGGUCAAUGGAGACAUGCAGCUCUAAAAGAAUACAACCACUCCACAGCCUUCUGCUCGGGGAGACUGCGAGGAGCUUGCAACAGGCAGAGGCAGACGGGAGUUAAUGGGAGGGAGGGAGAAUAUAAGAAAUAUUUGGGUAUGUUUCUGCUUUGAAAAACAUCAUCUGCUGUAACGCAAGUGAGUCUGGUGGUGCAGGAAAAAGUGGGGAGGGGGCGCUUAAUGCACAUUUAAUGUUUUGGACGUAACGUUCCAGCGAAAUGCCUUUGUGUGUGGAGGUUUUUUCAGUACUUGCUAAAAAUAGCAUCAGGGUUUGAUCGUGUUCCAGAAAUAGACCGAGGGCUGCACUGGGAUAAAAAGCCGGCGCGGGUGGAAGAAAACCUGGACAUCACCGCAUUCCCCCCGCCCCCCAACUAUGUCUGGAAAUUAAUUGUUGGAUUUUUCCUCUCCUGUCUCCCUCUCUCUCUCCACUUUCUCUUCCCUCCCCCUAUGUUUCUCUUUCUCUCUCUUAAGGAGUUCCCGUUUGGGUGGUCAAACCUGUCUUAACAGCUGGAGCUCUGCAUGAGGGUGGCCACUGCAGGAGGGGGUCUCAGAGACCACAGGAGCUGAAGAGUCUUUACCGGUGAGCCCUGGAGUCCCAGGAACUUGGUUUCCUAAAAUGGAAAGGAAGUUUGGGCGAGAGUUUGGCAGUGCCGAUGGUUCCAGCGAAUGAAGAAUCCAUUUGCAGCUGGUGUUGAAAGUGGAAAAUGCCAGAAGGUUUAUCUCCUGAAGAAUCUGUGAGAUCCUUUUAAAGGUGAAACUUUUCAUCUUUAGAAUUAAACACCUUCUCCACUGAACUUGAAGGAGAGAUUAAGUGCAAUGUUUUGAGCUACGUUCAAAAGAAGAUGAGACAGAAGGAGACAGAACUGUUAAAAAUAUGUAAGUUUUAUUAUACAGCCAAAUGAAGGAUUCAGUGCUGUUGUAAUGGUAUUCUUAAAAAUCUCCAGCUUUAUGAAAUCCCUUAAUUAUGGAAUUUUCUUUCAUUAUAUUGAACUACUUGCUGAUUUCCUCAUGAAUAUCUGAUCUGAAACUUAAUUUACAAAAAUACUGAAAAUGAAUUUAAAAUUAAAUGGGAACAUUUGUAUACUAAUAUGACACAAUAUUGUUGAUUCACAUUUUUUC